RNAcentral lists this ribosomal RNA (428 nucleotides) under uncultured bacterium. RNAcentral's name for it is "partial 16S ribosomal RNA". It matches the Rfam family "Bacterial small subunit ribosomal RNA", at positions 354 to 796 of the family's 1533-position model. The record is from RNAcentral.
GUGGGGAAUAUUGGGCAAUGGGCGAAAGCCUGACCCAGCGACGCCGCGUGGGGGAAGAAGUCCCUCGGGAUGUAAACCCUUGUUGUACGGGACGAAGGAAGUGACGGUACCGUACGAGGAAGCCCCGGCAAACUACGUGCCAGCAGCCGCGGUAAUACGUAGGGGGCGAGCGUUGUCCGGAAUCACUGGGCGUAAAGCGCACGUAGGCGGGCUGUUAAGUCGGCCGGGAAAGGCACUGGCUCAACCGGUGUUUGUCGGUAGAUACUGACAGUCUGGAGUAUGGGAGAGGGAACUGGAAUUCCCGGUGUAGCGGUGAAGUGCGUAGAUAUCGGGAGGAACACCAGUGGCGAAGGCGGGUUCCUGGCCCAUGACUGACGCUGAGGUGCGAAAGCCGGGGGAGCGAACGGGAUUAGAUACCCUGGUAGUCC